GUCAUAUCAGAGAAAAAAAAAGACCAAAUAGUCAAUCUUGAUGGGUUAUGGGAUGAUUAUGCCUUGCGUGGUAUGUUGAUCAGUUUAGGUGAGUAUGUCAUCCGAUAAACUCAUAAAUUCAUAUGAAAAAAGAGACUCCAAUGGUGCUGGACGUCUUGGUACACGUAUUGGUAUAUAGAUGUAAGUCUAAAGAAGUGCCUACUCACGUGGCAUAGAGCUAAGACCAGCUCUGGUAUGGAUUGCCUUCAGUGAUAUUGAUCCCCCACUUAUGGGAAAACAGAGGGCGGUAUUGGUCUCAGCAGCAGUCUUAUUCAACAGAGGUUAGAAACCUCAGGUAUAUAUAAAAAAUAGUGCAACAAUAGUGCGCACUGUAUAAAAUAUGUAAUAUAUGAUAAAAACCAAAAGGUUAUACUCACAUUUAACUGAGCAGACAACCCGCUCGGUUAUAUAGGCGUGGAUGGUAUAAUCCCCACCAAGGAUGC
Non-coding RNA from Pelobates cultripes (western spadefoot toad), 482 nucleotides. The record is from the annotation of a GenBank genome assembly. Lineage: Eukaryota; Metazoa; Chordata; Amphibia; Anura; Pelobatidae.